Long non-coding RNA from Rosa chinensis, 1132 nucleotides. RefSeq lists it as uncharacterized. The transcript has 2 exons. Lineage: Eukaryota; Viridiplantae; Streptophyta; Magnoliopsida; Rosales; Rosaceae. The record is from RefSeq and is a predicted model, not a curated record.
GUUUUGAGCAAUAAAGGGAAAAGCAGGGUGCUGCUAUAGUGAGAAGUGUCGGUGGAAGGAACUGCAGUUCUCACUCUCUCUCUCUCUCGUCCGAAACCAUCCAAGAACAGAGCAUUUACUCUCCAAGCCUGUUCUCGCUCCACAGGCCAUCGAUCGACCCCAGACCACUUCCUAUAGGUUCGCCUCGACCUUGCGCAGCUGCAGGUGGCAGACUUGAACCGCGACACGGCCACCAGCUGCAGCGGGAAGCUCCGCCCGGUUUGAGCUCGUUUUGGUUCCAAGAUUGAUAUCUCAAGCUACCGGUCACCAUUCCUCACCAAAAUUCAUCCUCGAGCUCUCUUCAACCUCCUGAAACUCCCAGAAGUGUCCUUGCACGGCGGCGCUGCGCGUGGUGGCAGCUGGAAGCCAGCCUCGAUCAAAAAUCGAAAUCCGAUCGUGAUAUCUCGAGCUGUAGUGCAUCUUUUUGAUUGAUUAUUGAACCAGUGAGUUCGCCUUGAUGUUAUUAACAACUCUCUAGAAGGAAUCAAGCCCUGAAAUUGAAGUUUUUACGUCGGAAUUCAAGCUCGCCGGAUUCUGGAAAUUUUCCGGCCACCGAAGCUUUCGAUCAAGCUAUCUCGAGCUGUAGAGAUUUUUUUUGAGUGAUUCUUGAACCAGUGAGUUCGACUUGAUGUUCUUAACAACUCUUCAGAAGGAAUCGAGGCCUGAAAUUGAAGUUUUUACGUCGAAAUCAAGCUCGCCGUUUUCUGCAAUUCUCGCCGGUUUCUGGAAAAAUUCCGGCCACCUCGACUGUUUUAGGUGUUUGACGGUUUGAUUUGGCGGACGAAUUGUGAUUCUUAUUCGAGUUGUAAGAAGACGCAGCGGGAUUGUCGAGGUACACUAUUCAAAUUGUGUAGCGGGAAAUUCUACAGGUCAGGAGAAUCGAGAUGGCGAUCAGGCUGCUUAGAGUAAUGGUAUUUGAGUUACAGCUUUAUUGUGAGGUUGUUAUACUCACUGAGCUUACAUUUAAAUUUGGAGAGAGUGUGUUGUAAUAUUAAACUCUUGAGGAUUUGGUUUUUGUGUUAGUGAGUGAGGCAAGGUGAUUAUUUAUGAGAAAAAAAUUCAGAACGUUUAUUUGAUUAAGUUGUUUAUUUCA